RNAcentral lists this ribosomal RNA (950 nucleotides) under uncultured Lactobacillus sp. RNAcentral's name for it is "bacterial SSU rRNA". It matches the Rfam family "Bacterial small subunit ribosomal RNA", at positions 8 to 916 of the family's 1533-position model. Lineage: Bacteria; Bacillati; Bacillota; Bacilli; Lactobacillales; Lactobacillaceae. The record is from RNAcentral.
AGAGUUUGAUCCUGGCUCAGGACGAACGCUGGCGGCGUGCCUAAUACAUGCAAGUCGAACGCACUCUCGUUUAGAUUGAAGGAGCUUGCUCUUGAUUGAUAAACAUUUGAGUGAGUGGCGGACGGGUGAGUAACACGUGGGUAACCUGCCCUAAAGUGGGGGAUAACAUUUGGAAACAGAUGCUAAUACCGCAUAAAACCUAACACCGCAUGGUGUAGGGUUGAAAGAUGGUUUCGGCUAUCACUUUAGGAUGGACCCGCGGUGCAUUAGUUAGUUGGUGAGGUAAAGGCUCACCAAGACCGUGAUGCAUAGCCGACCUGAGAGGGUAAUCGGCCACACUGGGACUGAGACACGGCCCAGACUCCUACGGGAGGCAGCAGUAGGGAAUCUUCCACAAUGGACGAAAGUCUGAUGGAGCAACGCCGCGUGAGUGAAGAAGGUUUUCGGAUCGUAAAACUCUGUUGUUGGAGAAGAAUGUAUCUGAUAGUAACUGAUCAGGUAGUGACGGUAUCCAACCAGAAAGCCACGGCUAACUACGUGCCAGCAGCCGCGGUAAUACGUAGGUGGCAAGCGUUGUCCGGAUUUAUUGGGCGUAAAGCGAGCGCAGGCGGUUUCUUAAGUCUGAUGUGAAAGCCUUCGGCUCAACCGAAGAAGUGCAUCGGAAACUGGGAAACUUGAGUGCAGAAGAGGACAGUGGAACUCCAUGUGUAGCGGUGAAAUGCGUAGAUAUAUGGAAGAACACCAGUGGCGAAGGCGGCUGUCUGGUCUGUAACUGACGCUGAGGCUCGAAAGCAUGGGUAGCAAACAGGAUUAGAUACCCUGGUAGUCCAUGCCGUAAACGAUGAGUGCUAGGUGUUGGAGGGUUUCCGCCCUUCAGUGCCGCAGCUAACGCAUUAAGCACUCCGCCUGGGGAGUACGACCGCAAGGUUGAAACUCAAAGGAAUUGACGG